GUGAAUCAUCGAAUCUUUGAACGCAAAUUGCGCUCGAGGCCUCGGCCAAGAGCAUGUCUGCCUCAGCGUCGGCUACUACCCUCAACUAAGUUUCCUAUUAUCGUAGGGGAUGCCGGUUGGAUCUGGCUGUCCGGUUUUCCUUUCAGGUUGCCGGUCAGCUGAAAUACAUUCACGCUUUGGGGGCUGCUUUCCUUUCGAGGAAAGGCUGGUUCCGAUUUGGUAGGUGACCUUUGCCGGUUACAUGCCUUCGUUGCCCGCUAAGACUCCCAGUAUGCGUAGUGCAGGACGCCUUUUGGCUUU
This 300-nucleotide unclassified non-coding RNA is filed under the name uncultured fungus. RNAcentral's name for it is "sequence contains 5.8S rRNA gene, ITS2". The stretch from base 1 to 71 matches the Rfam family "5.8S ribosomal RNA", at positions 84 to 154 of the family's 154-position model. Lineage: Eukaryota; Fungi. The record is from RNAcentral.